ACAGCAGUCGCCACGGUAAUACGGAGGAUCCAAGCGUUAUCCGGAAUCAUUGGGUUUAAAGGGUCCGUAGGCGGUCUUGUAAGUCAGUGGUGAAAGCCCAUCGCUCAACGGUGGAACGGCCAUUGAUACUGCAGGACUUGAAUUAUUGGGAAGUAACUAGAAUAUGUAGUGUAGCGGUGAAAUGCUUAGAUAUUACAUGGAAUACCAAUUGCGAAGGCAGGUUACUACCAAUUGAUUGACGCUGAUGGACGAAAGCGUGGGUAGCGAACAGGAUUAGAUACCCCUGUAGUCCCUGUCUCUUAUAC
RNAcentral lists this ribosomal RNA (305 nucleotides) under uncultured bacterium. RNAcentral describes it as "partial 16S ribosomal RNA". It matches the Rfam family "Bacterial small subunit ribosomal RNA", at positions 505 to 807 of the family's 1533-position model. The record is from RNAcentral.